GGGUAUCGAAGAGCCCUCUAACAUCAGAGAUUCUCCCAAGGGGAGUGGUGUUGAGCUCUCUAACAUUGGGGAGCUCUGCCAGCUCCUUGCCAAGAUGCUGGCCUAGCUUAGGACUCCCUUGGCCUUCUAUGCCUUCCCUUUCCCUUUGCUCCUCCCAUUCACUGUAGAGUCCAUUCAGGGUGCAUGACCUGGGUGUUGCUACCAGCAGAGGUGAGAGAAAGAGAAAAAUGGGAGAAAGACAGAGCUGCCAGGGAGACUCAGCCCCCUUCUCUCCUGGGAUCCUUCUUUCUCACCAUCCUGAGUCUGCACCCUGAUCUACCUGUGGCCACCACUGAGGGUCUCCUAGGGGCUUGGCAGAUGGGGACACUAGGCUGCCAGCAAGGGGCAGAGGCCUUUGUCAGAGUAAGCAGGAGAGAGAGACAGAGAGAGAGAGAGAGAGAGACCUAGUGUCCUUUCUUCCCUGAAGUAAAAGACUCCUGGCUUCACAUGCCUUCCUGGCCUUGGGCCUUGGUAACUUAGAGCCUGAGGGUGAGCCUGGAGUGAUGGGGACUAGAGGCACAGGGGUUUCCUGGGGGUAGGACAUAGAGGGAAUCAGCCUGCAGGGAGGUCAAAAUGCUUUGAACUCGGGCUGCAGGAACCUUUGAGAAGUGCUCAGAACUCAGAUUCUAAGGACACCCUAGCGAAGUGACUGAACUGAGGCUGUGGGACCUUUCUGGGAAAUGUGCGAAAUUUAGGCUGCAGGGGCUCACUGAAUUCAG
This 758-nucleotide long non-coding RNA is filed under the name Homo sapiens (human). Its description in RNAcentral is "non-protein coding lnc-HERC1-2:1". Lineage: Eukaryota; Metazoa; Chordata; Mammalia; Primates; Hominidae. The record is from RNAcentral.